AGGAUAAACGCUGGCGGCGUGCAUGAGACAUGCAAGUCGAACGGACACUCGGGGCUUGCUCCGAGUGUUAGUGGCGGACGGCUGAGUAACGCGUAGGUGACCUGCCCCGAAGUGGGGAAUAACUGCCCGAAAGGGUGGCUAAUACCGCAUGUGGUGGAACGUUCAUUCGUUCCAGUAAAGCCGCAAGGCGCUUCGGGAGGGGCCUGCGUCCGAUUAGCUCGUUGGUGGGGUAACGGCUCACCAAGGCGACGAUCGGUAGGUGGUCUGAGGGGACGAUCACCCAGACUGGGACUGAGACACGGCCCAGACUCCUACGGGAGGCAGCAGCGGGGAAUAUUGCACAAUGGGCGAAAGCCUGAUGCAGCGACGCCGCGUGGGGGAUGAAGGCUCUCGGGUUGUAAACCCCUUUCAGCAGGGACGAAACAGACGGUACCUGCAGAAGAAGCUCCGGCCAACUACGUGCCAGCAGCCGC
This 473-nucleotide ribosomal RNA is filed under the name uncultured bacterium. Its description in RNAcentral is "SSU rRNA". It matches the Rfam family "Bacterial small subunit ribosomal RNA", at positions 26 to 518 of the family's 1533-position model. The record is from RNAcentral.